UUGCUUGCGAACUGAAGAUGGCGACCGGCGCACGGGUGAGUAACACGUAUCCAACCUGCCGAUAACUCCGGAAUAGCCUUUCGAAAGAAAGAUUAGUACCGGAUGGCAUACGAAUAUCGCAUGAUAUUUUUAUUAAAGAAUUUCGAUUAUCGAUGGGGAUGCGUUCCAUUAGUUUGUUGGCGGGGUAACGGCCCACCAAGACUACGAUGGAUAGGGGUUCUGAGAGGAAGGUCCCCCACAUUGGAACUGAGACACGGUCCAAACUCCUACGGGAGGCAGCAGUGAGGAAUAUUGGUCAAUGGGCGAGAGCCUGAACCAGCCAAGUAGCGUGAAGGAUGAAGGCUCUAUGGGUCGUAAACUUCUUUUAUAUGGGAAUAAAGUUUUCCACGUGUGGAAUUUUGUAUGUACCAUAUGAAUAAGGAUCGGCUAACUCCGUGCCAGCAGCCGCGGUAAUACGGAGGAUCCGAGCGUUAUCCGGAUUUAUUGGGUUUAAAGGGAGCGUAGGUGGAUUGUUAAGUCAGUUGUGAAAGUUUGCGGCUCAACCGUAAAAUUGCAGUUGAAACUGGCAGUCUUGAGUACAGUAGAGGUGGGCGGAAUUCGUGGUGUAGCGGUGAAAUGCUUAGAUAUCACGAAGAACUCCGAUUGCGAAGGCAGCUCACUAAACUGUUACUGACACUGA
This 679-nucleotide ribosomal RNA is filed under the name uncultured Bacteroidales bacterium. Its description in RNAcentral is "bacterial SSU rRNA". It matches the Rfam family "Bacterial small subunit ribosomal RNA", at positions 76 to 749 of the family's 1533-position model. Lineage: Bacteria; Pseudomonadati; Bacteroidota; Bacteroidia; Bacteroidales. The record is from RNAcentral.